Hordeum vulgare subsp. vulgare (domesticated barley) is the source of this 136-nucleotide non-coding RNA. The record is from Rfam. Lineage: Eukaryota; Viridiplantae; Streptophyta; Magnoliopsida; Poales; Poaceae.
AAACUACUUCCUCCGUCCUAAAAUUAUUGUCUUAAAUUUGUUUAGAUAUGAAUGUAUUUAGUCACAUUUUAGUAUUUAGAUACACUCAUUUCUAAACAAACCUAAGACAAGAAUUUUGGGACGGAGGAAGUACAUA